Rattus norvegicus (Norway rat) is the source of this 71-nucleotide small nucleolar RNA. Ensembl annotates it as small nucleolar RNA, C/D box 45 like 1. Its record names the gene Snord45l1. The record is from Ensembl. Lineage: Eukaryota; Metazoa; Chordata; Mammalia; Rodentia; Muridae.
GGUCAGUGACGUCACGGCAUGUAUUAGCUGAACGCUAACCUGAGGCCAGUUACAAAUAGCAGUGAGACCUU